This is a long non-coding RNA of Wasmannia auropunctata (little fire ant), 1570 nucleotides long. RefSeq lists it as uncharacterized. The transcript is spliced from 4 exons. Lineage: Eukaryota; Metazoa; Arthropoda; Insecta; Hymenoptera; Formicidae. The record is from RefSeq and is a predicted model, not a curated record.
AUGUUUUUUCUCACUGGCGGCAAUGGGAAUAUCGCCGAGCGCGUGAUGAGACCUAACUUUUGGAUGGUAUUGUCGCGAGUGUACUACCUUAAUAAUCCGAUGCAAAUAAGCAUCUCAAAACACUGGGAAGAAAUUAUUAUGGCAAAUAUUAUCUCAUUGUCAGUCAGGGUUUAAACCUGAGACCUUUUGACUUUCCGGAACUGGCGUCUUUACCAAUUCGACCACUGAGGCAUGUGAUAAUAUUUAUCGCAAUAACUGAUAUAUAUUGAAGAAAAACCUAUUCUAGAGGAUUUCACAAUAAUUUCAGAAACUGUAUUAAAUAUUUCAUCUAUACUAAUAUCCUCUUUCAUCGUGGACAUUGAUCGUGCACCGCCUGUUCCGCAGCAAAAUUAAUGACAGUCUUCUUACACGUAUAGUCAGCAGCUAAAAAGUUGCAACACUUUUUUUUAUGGGUUUUGAAACGCGCAAAAUUUUUCAAAAUGCGAAUCACUGUCUCGAGAGCGGUUAGGAUAGCUGUCAAAAGUGAUACAGAAUUCAAACAUACAAAAUGUGAAAUUAAGAAAUCCGGUUUAUCGCGAAAAUCUUAAGAUACCGGUGAAUAAUACUAUAAAAUUAGAUCUUCUCUUACCGUGGAUAAAUUUGCUUGGAAAUAGAAAACUAUAUUAUAUGGAAUACUAAAGAAAACUAUAUUAUAUGGGCAUACUAAUGAGCGUUGAAGAUAAUAGCCUGUAUUACAUUCACAAGAAUUGGACCACUUUGUAAAAAUUGUAAGAAGAUGAUAUCUUUCACUCUGCUAUCUAAAUAAAGUAUAUACUACAAAUUUUCUUUUCGAUUUGAGAAAUGUAAGGUAAUGUUAUGGAAUGGAUUCUUCUUCAUGAUGGUUGAACGAGUUAUUAUACAUCCCGUGGGAUCCAGAUCCUCCAAUAAUUGCAGAUUUUGGAUGUGGGUAUCUAUACUAAAUAAAUAUUUUUAAAUACUACAGAGAAAAUGUGUAUCCCGGGGACAGCGAGAUAUGACACGAGCGACGGUCCUCCUGGGCCAGCGAGCCGACGAGGAUAGCGAGCCUGAACAGAGGACGUGUCAAAUUGCCACGCUGUCUUAGUCCUUUGCGACUGGACCUCAACUCGAUCUAGUCACGUGUCAAAGAGAGUCAAUUGACCACUCGGAUUUUGCUUACGGCGAGAAUUGUGUAAAUUGAGAAAAUGUCGGAGAAAUCAUCCGUGGCAUAUUUGGUAAAUCUAAGAAUAAAGACAAAACGAGAAAGUUUUGAUUUAUUGAUUUACAAAUCUGCAAAAGGAGAAAAACGACGCGAAAUAAUCGCAUCGUUGUGCGUGCGCGUGAAGGAAUGAAUGUACGCGAAUAUUUUUCUUAGACAGACACUUGUUAGUUACAUAUAAUUUUCUAUACGUCUUUUAGGAAAUCAUAGCUAUAAAUGUAUAAUAUAUAAUUGCAUAACGUUCAAAGAACAGCCAUAAAGUUUUGAUUAUAAAGCGAUCACUCGAUAAGCUAUAUUGAAUUGUCAAUAGCUUAUCGAAUAUAUAAAAUUGCUAAUAAAUAUUUUCUAAAGGCA